RNAcentral lists this ribosomal RNA (2545 nucleotides) under Klebsiella pneumoniae. Its description in RNAcentral is "partial 23S ribosomal RNA". It matches the Rfam family "Bacterial large subunit ribosomal RNA", at positions 398 to 2925 of the family's 2925-position model. RNAcentral also lists the same sequence under 1 other name. The record is from RNAcentral. Lineage: Bacteria; Pseudomonadati; Pseudomonadota; Gammaproteobacteria; Enterobacterales; Enterobacteriaceae.
UGUGAACUCGAAGAGUAGGGCGGGACACGUGGUAUCCUGUCUGAAUAUGGGGGGACCAUCCUCCAAGGCUAAAUACUCCUGACUGACCGAUAGUGAACCAGUACCGUGAGGGAAAGGCGAAAAGAACCCCGGCGAGGGGAGUGAAAAAGAACCUGAAACCGUGUACGUACAAGCAGUGGGAGCACCUUCGGGUGUGACUGCGUACCUUUUGUAUAAUGGGUCAGCGACUUAUAUUCUGUAGCAAGGUUAACCGUAUAGGGGAGCCGCAGGGAAACCGAGUCUUAACUGGGCGUUAAGUUGCAGGGUAUAGACCCGAAACCCGGUGAUCUAGCCAUGGGCAGGUUGAAGGUUGGGUAACACUAACUGGAGGACCGAACCGACUAAUGUUGAAAAAUUAGCGGAUGACUUGUGGCUGGGGGUGAAAGGCCAAUCAAACCGGGAGAUAGCUGGUUCUCCCCGAAAGCUAUUUAGGUAGCGCCUCGUGAAUUCAUCUUCGGGGGUAGAGCACUGUUUCGGCUAGGGGGUCAUCCCGACUUACCAACCCGAUGCAAACUACGAAUACCGAAGAAUGUUAUCACGGGAGACACACGGCGGGUGCUAACGUCCGUCGUGAAGAGGGAAACAACCCAGACCGCCAGCUAAGGUCCCAAAGUCAUGGUUAAGUGGGAAACGAUGUGGGAAGGCACAGACAGCCAGGAUGUUGGCUUAGAAGCAGCCAUCAUUUAAAGAAAGCGUAAUAGCUCACUGGUCGAGUCGGCCUGCGCGGAAGAUGUAACGGGGCUAAACCAUGCACCGAAGCUGCGGCAGCGACACUAUGUGUUGUUGGGUAGGGGAGCGUUCUGUAAGCCUGCGAAGGUGUGCUGUGAGGCAUGCUGGAGGUAUCAGAAGUGCGAAUGCUGACAUAAGUAACGAUAAAGCGGGUGAAAAGCCCGCUCGCCGGAAGACCAAGGGUUCCUGUCCAACGUUAAUCGGGGCAGGGUGAGUCGACCCCUAAGGCGAGGCCGAAAGGCGUAGUCGAUGGGAAACAGGUUAAUAUUCCUGUACUUGGUGUUACUGCGAAGGGGGGACGGAGAAGGCUAUGUUAGCCGGGCGACGGUUGUCCCGGUUUAAGCAUGUAGGCUGGUUAUCCAGGCAAAUCCGGAUAAUCAAGGCUGAGGUGUGAUGACGAGGCACUACGGUGCUGAAGUAACAAAUGCCCUGCUUCCAGGAAAAGCCUCUAAGCAUCAGGUAACAUCAAAUCGUACCCCAAACCGACACAGGUGGUCAGGUAGAGAAUACCAAGGCGCUUGAGAGAACUCGGGUGAAGGAACUAGGCAAAAUGGUGCCGUAACUUCGGGAGAAGGCACGCUGGUGUGUAGGUGAAGUCCCUGCGGAUGGAGCUGAGACCAGUCGAAGAUACCAGCUGGCUGCAACUGUUUAUUAAAAACACAGCACUGUGCAAACACGAAAGUGGACGUAUACGGUGUGACGCCUGCCCGGUGCCGGAAGGUUAAUUGAUGGGGUUAUCCGUAAGGAGAAGCUCUUGAUCGAAGCCCCGGUAAACGGCGGCCGUAACUAUAACGGUCCUAAGGUAGCGAAAUUCCUUGUCGGGUAAGUUCCGACCUGCACGAAUGGCGUAAUGAUGGCCAGGCUGUCUCCACCCGAGACUCAGUGAAAUUGAACUCGCUGUGAAGAUGCAGUGUACCCGCGGCAAGACGGAAAGACCCCGUGAACCUUUACUAUAGCUUGACACUGAACAUUGAGCCUUGAUGUGUAGGAUAGGUGGGAGGCUUUGAAGCGUGGACGCCAGUCUGCGUGGAGCCAACCUUGAAAUACCACCCUUUAAUGUUUGAUGUUCUAACGUUGGCCCCUGACCGGGGUUGCGGACAGUGUCUGGUGGGUAGUUUGACUGGGGCGGUCUCCUCCCAAAGCGUAACGGAGGAGCACGAAGGUUAGCUAAUCCUGGUCGGACAUCAGGAGGUUAGUGCAAUGGCAUAAGCUAGCUUGACUGCGAGCGUGACGGCGCGAGCAGGUGCGAAAGCAGGUCAUAGUGAUCCGGUGGUUCUGAAUGGAAGGGCCAUCGCUCAACGGAUAAAAGGUACUCCGGGGAUAACAGGCUGAUACCGCCCAAGAGUUCAUAUCGACGGCGGUGUUUGGCACCUCGAUGUCGGCUCAUCACAUCCUGGGGCUGAAGUAGGUCCCAAGGGUAUGGCUGUUCGCCAUUUAAAGUGGUACGCGAGCUGGGUUUAGAACGUCGUGAGACAGUUCGGUCCCUAUCUGCCGUGGGCGCUGGAGAAUUGAGGGGGGCUGCUCCUAGUACGAGAGGACCGGAGUGGACGCAUCACUGGUGUUCGGGUUGUCAUGCCAAUGGCACUGCCCGGUAGCUAAAUGCGGAAGAGAUAAGUGCUGAAAGCAUCUAAGCACGAAACUUGCCCCGAGAUGAGUUCUCCCUGAGACUUUAAGUCUCCUGAAGGAACGUUGAAGACGACGACGUUGAUAGGCCGGGUGUGUAAGCGCAGCGAUGCGUUGAGCUAACCGGUACUAAUGAACCGUGAGGCUUAACCUU